AGCUGUGAUUUCUCAAGAACUGAACACUUUGUUCAUAGCCAAGUGAGGAAGCAAGGUCACAGGGUGUUUGCCGGUACAAGUUGAAAGUACUGAAAGACAACAGAGAAGACCCAUUUUCCAGCAGCCAUUGGAGUACAUCCACAUGACCAGCAAAGGCUGCAAGGUGAACGCGCCGUAAAUUUCAUCACAUUGCGGUGCUAUGAAAGGGAAGUGUUUGGAGAUUACGUAAAUGGCUGAAGUGUGUUUUUCACAAAAGCAGUAAUAUACCAAUAAAAAGUCACGACAGACAAACUCUCGAUAUAUUGAGCACAAAGAUGAGAACGAAGACACUCUGGCGUCUGAACUGUAUUUCAGUGUUAACAGUAAAGCGGAAAUGUAUAAAAAAUGAUCAAUGUUGUUGCUACCUUGCUUGUAUUUGGGGUUAGUUAUUAGCAACCGACACUGGAGAUCAUGUGGACGAUAUUGCAAUAAGAACUCUUGAGAGUUCACUUAUUAGAAACAGCACAGCUUUCUUGAUGUUACCAGCCCAGCUUAGACAAAAGUAAGAGUAGGAUACAAAAAUAAACUUCUAAUCACUGUAGAAUGACCAAUCAGUUAUUCUUUUGGAGACUAGAAAGUGAAACGGACUGACUUUUCGAUCUGGAAUAAAUUACGGAAAAUGUGUCUCAAAGGUGUUUGAAAAAUUCAGGGUAAACUAUCCUUAAU
Long non-coding RNA from Pocillopora damicornis (cauliflower coral), 705 nucleotides. The record is from RefSeq and is a predicted model, not a curated record. Lineage: Eukaryota; Metazoa; Cnidaria; Anthozoa; Scleractinia; Pocilloporidae.